UUGGCAUGGGCGAAAGCCUGAUCAGCCUGCCGCGUGUGUGAAGAAGGUCUUCGGAUUGUAAAGCACUUUAAGUUGGGAGGAAGGGCAGUAAAUUAAUACUUUGCUGCUUUGACGUUACCGACAGAAUAAGCACCGGCUAACUCUGUGCCAGCAGCCGCGGUAAUACAGAGGGUGCAAGCGUUAAUCGGAAUUACUGGGCGUAAAGCGCGCGUAGGUGGUUUGUUAAGUUGAAUGUGAAAUCCCCGGGCUCAACCUGGGAACUGCAUCCAAAACUGGCAAGCUAGAGUAUGGUAGAGGGUAGUGGAAUUUCCUGUGUAGCGGUGAAAUGCGUAGAUAUAGGAAGGAACACCAGUGGCGAAGGCGACUACCUGGACUGAUACUGACACUGAGGUGCGAAAGCGUGGGGAGC
RNAcentral lists this ribosomal RNA (409 nucleotides) under uncultured bacterium. Its description in RNAcentral is "bacterial SSU rRNA". It matches the Rfam family "Bacterial small subunit ribosomal RNA", at positions 365 to 769 of the family's 1533-position model. The record is from RNAcentral.